UACGUAGGGUGCGAGCGUUGUCCGGAAUUAUUGGGCGUAAAGAGCUCGUAGGCGGUUUGUCGCGUCUGCUGUGAAAACCCGAGGCUCAACCUCGGGCCUGCAGUGGGUACGGGCAGACUAGAGUGCGGUAGGGGAGAUUGGAAUUCCUGGUGUAGCGGUGGAAUGCGCAGAUAUCGGGAGGAACACCAGUGGCGAAGGCGACUUCUUGGCCUGUUCUUGACGCUGAGGCGCGAAAGCUGGGGGAGCAAACGGG
RNAcentral lists this ribosomal RNA (253 nucleotides) under uncultured bacterium. Its description in RNAcentral is "partial 16S ribosomal RNA". It matches the Rfam family "Bacterial small subunit ribosomal RNA", at positions 524 to 776 of the family's 1533-position model. The record is from RNAcentral.